RNAcentral lists this ribosomal RNA (460 nucleotides) under uncultured bacterium. Its description in RNAcentral is "partial 16S ribosomal RNA". It matches the Rfam family "Bacterial small subunit ribosomal RNA", at positions 338 to 795 of the family's 1533-position model. The record is from RNAcentral.
CCUACGGGUGGCAGCAGUGAGGAAUAUUGGACAAUGGACGCAAGUCUGAAGCAGCCAUGCCGCGUGCAGGAAGACGGCCCUAUGAGUGGUAAACUGUUUCUGUACGAGGGUAAACGUUGAUACGCGUAACCUUCUGAAUGUACCGUACGAGCAAGGACCGGCCAACGCCGUGCCAGCAGCCGCGGUAAUACGGAGGAUACAAGCGUUACGCGGAUUUAAUGGGCUUAAAGGGUGCGUAGGCGGUCGGUUAAGUUAGAGGUGAAAUCCCGAGGCUCAACUUCGGAAUUGCCUCUGAUACUGGUAGGCUAGAGAGUAGUAGCGGGAGGCAGAAUGUAUGGUGUAGCGGUGAAAUGCUUAGAGAUCAUACGGAAUACCGAUUGCGAAGGCAGCUCACCAGACAACGUCUGACGUUGAGGUGCGAAAGCGUGGGGAGCAAACAGGAUUAGAUACCCCAGUAGUC